RNAcentral lists this ribosomal RNA (260 nucleotides) under Glomus sp. CS04-4. RNAcentral's name for it is "partial 18S ribosomal RNA". It matches the Rfam family "Eukaryotic small subunit ribosomal RNA", at positions 624 to 886 of the family's 1831-position model. Lineage: Eukaryota; Fungi; Glomeromycota; Glomeromycetes; Glomerales; Glomeraceae. The record is from RNAcentral.
AAGCUCGUAGUUGAAAUUUCGGGGUUAGUAGGUUGGGUCAUGCCUCUGGUAUGUACUGGUCUCACUGAUUCCUCCUUCCUGAUGAACCGUAAUGCCAUUAAUUUGGUGUUGCGGGGAAUUUGGACUGUUACUUUGAAAAAAUUAGAGUGUUUAAAGCAAGCUAACGCUUGAAUACAUUAGCAUGGAAUAAUGAAAUAGGACGUUCGAUCCUAUUUUGUCGGUUUCUAGGAUUGACGUAAUGAUUAAUAGGGAUAGUUGGG